This is an RNA transcript of Helianthus annuus (common sunflower), 3396 nucleotides long. It is a transcript of the gene named calcium-transporting ATPase 3, endoplasmic reticulum-type, with no coding region annotated. The transcript has 29 exons. The record is from RefSeq and is a predicted model, not a curated record. NCBI's taxonomy places the organism in Eukaryota, Viridiplantae, Streptophyta, Magnoliopsida, Asterales, Asteraceae.
GUUAGUCUUUGACUACUGACCAUAGGACCCGUAUUGUGAAGCUGCCGAUUUAAUUUGUCCCGGUUAUCGAGACCCUUAAAUAAUAAAUUAGAAGGUUAGAAAAACCCUACGCCAUUCUGGAUCACGGAAGAAGAGAAGAGGUUGUAGUAGAUCUUGGCUGAGAUCUCUGAGAUGGAGGACGCAUUCGCUAGAUCUGUUCCUGAGGUGUUGGAUUUUUUCCGAGUGGAUCCCAGUAAAGGUCUCACCGAUAUCCAGGUCACAACCCAUGCUCGCGUUUAUGGCACAAACGUGCUGCCUCAUCAAGAAAGCACCCCUUUUUGGAAAUUGGUUCUUAGUCAAUUUGAUGACUUGCUUGUUAAGAUAUUGAUAGCCGCCGCUGUUGUUUCUUUUCUUUUGGCUUUGGUUAAUGGAGAAACUGGCUUAACAGCUUUUCUCGAGCCUUCUGUUAUAUUAAUGAUAUUGGCCGCAAAUGCUGCCGUAGGAGUAAUUACAGAAACAAAUGCUGAAAAGGCUUUGGAGGAGUUGCGUGCCUAUCAAGCAGAUGUUGCAACAGUCAUGCGUAAUGGUUGCUUCUCCAUCCUUCCUGCGACAGAGCUAGUUCCGGGGGAUAUUGUAGAAGUUAGUGUGGGUUGCAAAAUUCCAGCAGACCUGAGAAUGAUUGAGAUGUUAAGUGAUCAACUGCGUGUUGAUCAAGCCAUUCUUACAGGUGAGAGUUCUUCUGUGGAAAAAGAGCUCGAGUCCAGGAUAACAACUAAUGCGGUGUACCAAGACAAAACUAAUAUCCUCUUUUCGGGAACAGUAGUGGUUGCUGGUAGAGCAAGAGCCGUUGUGGUUGGAGUUGGUUCUAACACUGCAAUGGGUAGCAUACGUGAUUCUAUGUUGAAAACCGAGGACGAAGCAACACCGCUCAAAAGGAAGCUUGAUGAAUUUGGUACUUUCUUGGCCAAGGUCAUAGCUGGUAUUUGUAUACUGGUAUGGAUCGUUAAUAUUGGCCAUUUUCGUGAUCCUGUACAUGGAGGCUUUUUUCAAGGUGCUGUUCACUACUUCAAGAUUGCAGUUGCCCUUGCUGUUGCUGCAAUUCCAGAAGGUCUUCCAGCUGUUGUUACAACGUGUUUGGCUCUUGGAACAAAAAGAAUGGCCCGUUUGAAUGCUAUUGUGAGAUCCUUGCCUUCUGUAGAGACGUUGGGCUGUACAACAGUAAUUUGCAGUGACAAAACUGGUACUCUGACCACUAACAUGAUGUCAGUUUCUAAGAUCUGUGUGCUUCAAUCUGCUAGCCAUGGAGUUAUAGCUGCAGAGUAUAAUGUUAGUGGUACGACCUAUGCACCAGAAGGUUCUAUUUUUGAUGGCAUGGGAUUGCAGCUUGAUUUUCCUGCUCAAUUUCCUUGUCUUCUUCACAUAGCAAUGUGUUCAGCUCUGUGCAAUGAGUCAGUUAUACAAUACAAUCCUGACAAGAAAAAAUAUGAAAAAAUUGGGGAGUCAACAGAAGUUGCUCUUCGUAUACUAGCAGAAAAGAUUGGUCUUCCUGGUUUUGACUCUAUGCCUUCUGCUCUCAAUAUGUUGACCAAGCAUGAACGGGCGGCUUACUGUAAUCAUUAUUGGGAGAACCAAUUUAGGAAGAUAUCUCUUUUGGAAUUUUCUCGUGAUCGCAAGAUGAUGAGUGUUCUUUGUAGUCGAAAACAGAUUGAGAUUAUGUUUUCCAAAGGUGCCCCAGAGAGCAUACUUUCUAAGUGCACAAGUAUUCUUUGCAACGAUGAUGGUUCCACUGUUCCGCUGACUGGAAAUAUCAGGAAUGAGAUUGAAUCCAGAUUUUCCAGCUUUGCAGGAAAAGAUACCUUAAGAUGUCUUGCACUUGCCUUAAAAAGGAUGCCAACAGGUCAUCAGAAUAUUUCUUUAGAUGAUGAAAAAGAUCUUACCUUUAUUGGGUUGGUUGGAAUGCAAGAUCCACCAAGGGAGGAAGUAAGAAAUGCUAUACUUGCAUGCAUGACAGCUGGCAUACGUGUUAUGGUGGUGACUGGGGAUAACAAGGCUACUGCAGAAUCAGUGUGCCGAAAAAUAGGUGCUUUUGAUCACUUGGAAGAUUUUAGGGCGCGCUCAUUCACCGCAUCAGAGUUUGAAGACCUUCCAGCCUCUGAAAAGACAAGCGCACUGCAACAGAUGACACUUUUUACUAGGGUUGAACCAUCCCACAAAAAGAUGUUGGUGGAAGCACUACAACACCAAAAUGAAGUCGUUGCCAUGACUGGAGAUGGGGUGAAUGAUGCACCUGCAUUAAAGAAGGCAGAUAUAGGAAUCGCCAUGGGAUCAGGAACAGCAGUUGCCAAGAGUGCUUCAGACAUGGUUCUGGCUGAUGAUAAUUUUGCUACUAUUGUUGCAGCUGUUGCAGAGGGCAGAGCUAUAUACAAUAACACAAAACAGUUCAUAAGAUAUAUGAUUUCUUCAAACAUAGGAGAAGUUGUUUGUAUCUUUGUUGCUGCUGUACUUGGAAUACCUGACACCCUUGUCCCUGUGCAACUUCUAUGGGUGAAUUUGGUUACUGAUGGAUUACCUGCUACAGCUAUUGGUUUCAAUAAGCAAGAUUCUGAUGUUAUGAAGGCUAAACCAAGAAAGGUUAAUGAAGCUGUCGUCACCGGCUGGCUAUUCUUUCGUUAUUUAGUCAUUGGAGCUUAUGUUGGACUUGCAACUGUCGCUGGUUUCAUAUGGUGGUUUAUUUAUUCAAACACUGGUCCAAAGAUUCCAUAUAGCGAACUUAUGAAUUUUGACAGUUGUUUGAAACGUGAAACUGCAUAUCCUUGCAGUAUCUUCAGCGACCGACACCCCUCAACUGUGGCAAUGACAGUUCUUGUUGUUGUUGAGAUGUUCAAUGCUUUGAAUAAUCUGAGUGAAAACCAGUCCCUCAUUUAAUAAGUGAAAAACUUCAGUGUUAUACCUCCUUGGAGUAACUUAUGGCUUGUUGGGUCUAUCGGGUUGACCAUGUUACUUCACUGCCUCAUUUUGUAUGUGCCACCGCUUUCCGCUCUCUUUUCUGUGGUGCCAUUAACAUGGGAUGAAUGGACUACUGUUUUGUAUUUAUCUUUUCCUGUAAUUAUUAUCGACGAGAUAUUGAAACUUUUUUCGCGAAAAACUACUGGGUUGAGAUUCAAUUUGAGACCGAGGAGGAAAAGGGAAGUACGUGAUAAAUGAGGAGUCGCAUCGCAUCCCAGUGUUGUAUACAGAAGGUGUAGCAAAAUAUGGUAGAAAUAUAGAUAUAUGCUUUGAUUAAUUUAAAUUUUGACAAGACAUGUUACCGGCCUUUUAUUUAUUUAUUUAUGCAUUUGAUAAUGAACUAUAAUGAUGUUUUCCGGGAUUUGUUCUUAGCAACAAUAUUAUGCAACGAAGUGAACGGUAAUUAUAUUU